Molecule: ribosomal RNA, 468 nt
Filed under: uncultured bacterium
Lineage: Bacteria
Description: partial 16S ribosomal RNA
Rfam family: Bacterial small subunit ribosomal RNA
Source: RNAcentral
GAUGAACGCUGGCGGCGUGCUUAACACAUGCCAGUCGAACGGAAAGAGCACGUUCGUGUGGGUUGCACGUGGCGCGCGGGGGAGAAAAACACGGGAGUCCCCUGCCCUUGACUGGGAGAUCCCUUGAGAAAAGUGGGGAAAACACAAGAUAUGAGGACUUCCUCCAGGGAGGGGCGUGAAAGGUCCCGGCGGGUGGGGAUGGACUCGCGGCUUAUUAGUUUGUGGGUGGGGAAGCGGCUUACCAGGGCUUUGAGGGGUAGCCGGCCUGAGAGGGCGACCGGCCACAUUGGGACUGAGAUACGGCCCAGACUCCUACGGGAGGCAGCAGUGGGGAAUCUUGCACAAUGGGCGGAAGCCUGAUGCAGCGACGCCGCGUGCGGGAUGACGGCCUUCGAGUUGUAAACCGCUUUCGGCUGUGACGAGGCGAGAGUGACGGUACCGGGAGAAGAAGCCCCGGCUAACUACGUG